Molecule: long non-coding RNA, 364 nt
Filed under: Daucus carota (carrot)
Lineage: Eukaryota; Viridiplantae; Streptophyta; Magnoliopsida; Apiales; Apiaceae
Description: long non-coding RNA (DCAR_LNC000688)
Source: RNAcentral
CAGAAGUGGAGACCAUGCUAAUGAAAGAAUGUGAACAAGUGGAGAGAGUAAAGCAGAGAAUUGCUGCUGAAAGGGCUGCUUUUAUCUCAACACAUUUUGGAUCAGGAGGUGGUGUGUCUCGACCUACAAGUCUAUCAGCAAUUAGUCCUGCCAUGAUUCAGAAUAAUGCUGGAAAUACGAGGCAACAAAUCGUCUCAGACGGGCCUUCACAGCCAUAUAUGGGUUAUACCAAUAGUCGACCUGUCCAUCCUCAUGUAUCACCCAUGUCGCAGCAGCAGACAUAUGGACUUGGCCCCAGGAUGCCCCUCUCAGCCAUAAAUCCGUCUUCGGCUUCUCCUAAUAGCACAACUCGCCCAAUGUCAAG